CCACUUUUUGCCUGUCCUUUGGUCUGCUCUCAUAAUCAAGGAUCCAGAUCUGCUAAUCCUGCUGGUGCUGGCAGCCGGUCAAGUUCCCCAGGAAAAUUGUUGGGAAGUGGUUAUGGUGGACUUACUGGGGGCUCCUCACGAGGCCCACCUGUGACACCGUCUUCAGAAAAGCGAAGCAAGAUUCCCAGGAGCCAGGGAUGUAGCCGGGAAACAAGUCCAAACCGAAUAGGAUUAGAUCGGUUUGGGCUUGGCCAGCCAGGAAGAAUACCUGGUUCUGUGAAUGCCAUGAGAGUUCUGAGCACAAGUACAGAUCUUGAAGCUGCUGUUGCCGAUGCUUUGAAGAAGCCUGUGAGGAGGAGAUAUGAGCCGUAUGGGAUGUAUUCUGACGAUGAUGCCAACAGUGAUGCCUCAAGUGUUUGCUCUGAGCGCUCAUAUGGCUCCAGGAAUGGUGGCAUUCCCCAUUAUCUGCGGCAGACUGAGGAUGUAGCAGAAGUUCUCAACCACUGUGCUAGUUCAAACUGGUCAGAAAGGAAAGA
This 536-nucleotide small RNA is filed under the name Pan troglodytes (chimpanzee). Its description in RNAcentral is "retained intron". The record is from RNAcentral. RNAcentral also lists the same sequence under 1 other name. Lineage: Eukaryota; Metazoa; Chordata; Mammalia; Primates; Hominidae.